This is a ribosomal RNA of Cricetulus griseus (Chinese hamster), 117 nucleotides long. The record is from Ensembl. NCBI's taxonomy places the organism in Eukaryota, Metazoa, Chordata, Mammalia, Rodentia, Cricetidae.
GUCCAUAGACAGACUACUCUGGCCACACCUAAACUCAUCAGAUCUCUUAAGCUUAGCAGGGUUAGUACUUGGAUGGGAGAAGUGUGAAAUUAUAACUCACAGCUCUUUCUUUGUACA